AGUGAACGCUGGCGGUAGGCCUAACACAUGCAAGUCGAACGGCAGCACAGUAAGAGCUUGCUCUUACGGGUGGCGAGUGGCGGACGGGUGAGGAAUACAUCGGAAUCUACUUUUUCGUGGGGGAUAACGUAGGGAAACUUACGCUAAUACCGCAUACGACCUACGGGUGAAAGCAGGGGAUCUUCGGACCUUGCGCGAUUGAAUGAGCCGAUGUCGGAUUAGCUAGUUGGCGGGGUAAAGGCCCACCAAGGCGACGAUCCGUAGCUGGUCUGAGAGGAUGAGCAGCCACACUGGAACUGAGAAACGGUCCAGACUCCUACGGGAGGCAGCAGUGGGGAAUAUUGGACAAUGGGCGCAAGCCUGAUCCAGCCAUACCGCGUGGGCGAAGAAGGCCUUCGGGUUGUAAAGCCCUUUUGUUGGGAAAGAAAAGCAGCAGGUUAAUACCCCGCUGUUCUGACGGUACCCAAAGAAUAAGCACCGGCUAACUUCGUG
Molecule: ribosomal RNA, 492 nt
Filed under: uncultured bacterium
Lineage: Bacteria
Description: partial 16S ribosomal RNA
Rfam family: Bacterial small subunit ribosomal RNA
Source: RNAcentral